CCAGUCGGCCGGGCAGCCGCGCUUCACCAAUGCCGAAAGGCGGUGAGGUGAGGAAAGUCCGGGCUCCACGGAAACACGGUGCCGGAUAACGUCCGGCGGGGGCGACCCCAGGGAAAGUGCCACAGAGAGAAGACCGCGCCGACGUGCCCGUCAGGGGCACAUUCGCGGCGUAAGGGUGAAAGGGUGGGGUAAGAGCCCACCGCGGACCUGGCAACAGGAACGGCAUGGUAAACCCCACCGGGAGCAAGACCGAAUAGGGACGACACGGGCCGCGCAAGCGUGUCCAGGCCUGUUUCCGGGCUCGUCGUCCGGGUGGGUUGCGAGAGGCGCCGCGCAAGCGGUGUCCCAGAUGAAUGGCUGCCACGUUCCGGCGUCCCGCAAGGGCCUCCGGAGCCAUACAGAACCCGGCUUACAGGCCGACUGGCAAA
Molecule: RNase P RNA, 428 nt
Filed under: Ectorhizobium quercum
Lineage: Bacteria; Pseudomonadati; Pseudomonadota; Alphaproteobacteria; Hyphomicrobiales; Rhizobiaceae
Description: RNase P RNA component class A
Rfam family: Bacterial RNase P class A
About the family: Ribonuclease P (RNase P) is a ubiquitous endoribonuclease, found in archaea, bacteria and eukarya as well as chloroplasts and mitochondria. Its best characterised activity is the generation of mature 5'-ends of tRNAs by cleaving the 5'-leader elements of precursor-tRNAs.
Source: RNAcentral